GGGCUGGGGGUUGCUGGGCUGGGGGGGUUGGGGAAGGGGCUCAGUUCACAGUUCUACUCUUCUGGGAAACAAAAAUAAUUAAAAAGACAGUCUAUCGAGUGUAUUUAUCUUUGGUACCAGCAAGCACCAGAAAAUGAGAGCAGAAUAGACCUGUUACUUUGAAAAGCCCUUGAAUACCCUUAGAAAAAAAGGAGCAAAACAGGCAAGCCAGAUCUCUAUCCCAAAGCUUCUGUGUUGCAGAUAAUCAGAGAGCAGCCUUCCUCCUGAACGCAGGCAGCGUGAGACCAGGCUGUUUCACUUCAAGGAACGCCGAGGCAGGCACCCCCUGACAGAAACGAAGAGUUUUUGAGAAAGGAAUGGAAACCAAAGAAUAUUUGAGGCUACAAGAUGGGCUGAGAAUGCGGAGGGAAUUCGCUGCCCGGCACAUUCUAACAUCAAAGCACCACUGUUUGCUUUGCAUACGCACUGAGCAAACGUGACAUCUGCACGUUUUUGCUGUGACAUAUCUUUCCUUUGCAACAAAACAAGACUCUGCUGCUCCACGGAACAAAGUACUUUAACAGAAUAAAGAAAAGGCAGUGAAAGGAAUAUUUGGCUGCAGGUUAACAUGGACCACUUUGAGAGUUCAGAAUGGAGAGAAAUCACUGGACACCAUGCAGCCCUCCCUUGACAAGCCUGUCCUCCUUCCAUGGCAAGCUCUGUCCCUUUAUCCUCCUGAGAAUGAAACCAGUAUGGAUCAAGGAGAGAGAGGGCAGUCCCUGAAGGCAAUCACAUCCCCAAUUGCCCACUUUCUGCUUGGGGAAAAAUUCAGGAAGGAAAAUGACAAGAGUACAGCAUAAAGCCAUAGUGUCUCUGCCACCUGAUCAGCCAACAGAUCAGAAAAAGUGGCCAGCAGCUUCUUUCACUGCCUACAUCUGAGGCAUGAGGUCGCAGAGCUGGAGAGACGCCAGAGAACUGUGCUGCAGCUACGCAUGUGCUCCACCAGCACCCUGCACUCAGCGGGGCUCCACUCACUGAAAUGGCAGCUCAGGACCACAUUCCUGCUCUUCACAGGACCCAGGAAAGGAAGAAACUGGAGACUAAUUGUGUGAAUUCUCCAGACAAAGGCAACACUAGCCAGCGUGGCAAGUGCUGCUUCAAGGUCAAAGACCAUUUACGCUGUGCUCCUCCCUGCAUGAGGGAAUAUUAGUCUCCUUUAGGUCCAGUUUGCUCACUUAGCCUUAAGCAAAAGGUUUAGGAUUAGGCCUAAAUGAGUUAUUUACACUAAGGAAUAACUCAUGGGUCAGGUUCAAGAAGAAGCAUUGGAAUAAGCAGUGCAAGACUGCCACAAAAUUGAAUAAACUCAAAUGUUACCAUAAUUUCUGGGAAGAA
RNAcentral lists this long non-coding RNA (1371 nucleotides) under Apteryx owenii (little spotted kiwi). Its description in RNAcentral is "lncRNA (ENSAOWG00000007068.1)". Lineage: Eukaryota; Metazoa; Chordata; Aves; Apterygiformes; Apterygidae. The record is from RNAcentral.